Molecule: long non-coding RNA, 1246 nt
Organism: Esox lucius (northern pike)
Lineage: Eukaryota; Metazoa; Chordata; Actinopteri; Esociformes; Esocidae
Source: Ensembl
GUAAUGAAGUACAGGCACAGGAAUAAUAGUGCUUCGUUCCAGCUAACACUUCUGAUGGUGGUUCCUCCACCAACUCUGCUCCAGAAGCAUGAGGUCUCUCUCUGUUGCCAGUAUCAAACAGAGAAUCACAGACAAGAGAUGAAAGACUACAGUGAAAUCUGAAGUGAUGUUCAUCUAGACAAAAUAACAUCUGAAACUGGAUUACGAAACAAAAGUAACAUAGAGCACUUAUUACUUGAAAAAUGAAACAAAAGGGCUGGCAAGGCAGCAACAUGGAACUCACCACAUGCAGAACACAAGAAGACAUGGAACAACAAUGAUCGACGAAUGUGGGGAGCAGAGGGGAAACAUUGAAACACUUCCAAACGAUGUGAUAGGGACCUGGUGUGCAUGAUUAAAGACAUGACACAAAACAAGUCCGGGAUGUGUUCAUAAGUGAUGGGAAGUGAGAGUGCACGGAACGGUGGUGUUGCUGCUCACCGUACCGUGACAGUACCCCCCCCCCCCAAAGGCCCGGCCACCGGACGGGCCAACACAAACCCCGGCCCAAGGGAUGGGGGGGGAGGGGGCAGUACAGGACCCCCACCGGCACAAACCCGCCGAGGGGUCAGAACAAUGUUCAAUGUAAUGUCUUACAUUGAACUGAAACAAUAUCUCGAAAUACAUCAAUCUCAAUCCUGCAUCUGUCAUAAUGCCUGGUGACACACUGGUUAUGUAAUGGGAAAUCCCCAUAGGAGUAUUUUAGAGCUGAGAUUUGUAAUACUAUCAAAGCCUGUUGCAUUAAAUCCUGCCUGGUAACAGAUUACUUCACUGUUGGUUAGUUUGAAUGCUGGAUACUGUUGAUACUGUUGAAUAAAAUACUAUUUACUGUAUGGUAUGUCAGUAUUGGACCCACUCAGACCUAUAGAAUAUUCCCUCUUUAAAUGUUGUUACACUAGCUCAGACAAUGUACAUUUGGGAAAAAAGAGAAACUGACAAAUUCAUACCAAUAAUUGAAGUGCCUUAUUAUAAAAUGCAGAGAUACAAAUUCCUCAGAUAACACAAAUCUAGUGUUUGUAAAAGUGUACUUGUACCAUGAACUUUCAUACUGAGGAGGUUGUUUAUGGUACAAUGCUAAAUGGAAGAUACCUGGUAAAACACUGCUGACUGGUUUGAUGCAUGUAUUUGCAUCAUAGCAUCAAGUCAUUGCAUGGCAUAUGUAUGCUAAAUAAAACAACAGAAUUUUACAAAUCUCAAAAUGAUUCAC